RNAcentral lists this long non-coding RNA (699 nucleotides) under Nicotiana benthamiana. Its description in RNAcentral is "long non-coding RNA (NBEN_LNC037492)". Lineage: Eukaryota; Viridiplantae; Streptophyta; Magnoliopsida; Solanales; Solanaceae. The record is from RNAcentral.
GUAGGGGUAAGGCUGCGUCCCACUUGUGUGAUUAUACUGGGUGGUUGUUGUUAUUGUUGAUUUCAAUCUUAGUUCUCUUUGAUCUCCAAGAAAUUUUCUUUCCAGGAACCUGGUAGAGCUGAAGCUGAUUUUGGUCGUCUUGACGCUAAAACAGUUGUGAGGAACAUCUACAUUCUUUUUUCUAGAAGUGAAAUACCAAUAGCCAAUGAAAAUCAGGAAAUCAUGGACAUCGUGCAACCUUCGACACCUCUACCCCCUUGGUUCUCUGAAAAAGACCUGGAAACAUAUGGAGCCUUGUAUGAGAAAUCUGGAUUCCAGACUGCAUAUGGACAUUGUGCAACCUUCGACACCUCUACCCCCUUGGUUCUCUGAAAAAGACCUGGAAACAUAUGGAGCCUUGUAUGAGAAAUCUGGAUUCCAGACUGCAUUGCAGGUUCCAUACAGGUACAACGACAAUCUAUGUCUAUUUGAGCUGUAAAGUCCCUUUUUGACAGCUUUUUUCUUAUUCCACACUCAUAUGUCGCAAAACAGUUGUUAUACAGCAGACCAACAAAGGAUUUUAUUUUGAUGAGAUUUACGGCUAUGGUGAGGAAGAGGCAGAGUUAAGAAAGUGAUUAAUAGAGUAUAUAUAAAGCUGAAGUGCUAACUUCGACCAUUGUGUGUUUAACCUCAUAAAAUGACAGAAAAUUCGAGUUAUAG